Molecule: unclassified non-coding RNA, 1258 nt
Filed under: Daphnia magna
Lineage: Eukaryota; Metazoa; Arthropoda; Branchiopoda; Diplostraca; Daphniidae
Description: reticulocalbin-2, transcript variant X4
Source: RNAcentral
ACAUGUUUGUUUCUCUCAUGUCCCUCUACCCCAACAGUCUGUCUUUUCCAUUACGUACCCUGAAGGCUAGCGGCAUUUGGCUGCCAAACCACCUCGUAUUUUUUCUGAAAAACACAGAUAUACAACUUGUGCUUCGAAAAUCAAACCUUUGGGAAUUACGAACAUUCAUCUUCACGUAUUACAAGAUGUAUGUGUCUCUAUUUUCAGUUGUAAUUUUUACUUUUAGCCUUUGUGCACAGUCAAAUGCAAGCCCUCACAGCCACAAACAUGGAACAGAACGAGAAGUAGAUGGAGCAUAUAGUCCGAGGGAUCAUUCUCACUAUGGAGGGGAAGACCACAAUGUUGAAUUUGAUCAUGAGGCUAUCUUGGGUAGUACACAAGAAGCAGAAGAAUUUGACCAUUUGCCUCCAGAAGAAGCAAAAAAGAGAUUAGCUGUAUUGCUUACAAAAAUGGAUGUGGAUAGCAAUAAAGAAAUCACUACCACAGAGCUGAAGCAAUGGAUUCUCAGGUCUUUCAAAUCACUUUCAGAAGAAGAAUCUCGAGAAAAGCUGGCUGAAGUUGACUUAAACAAGGACAAUCAAGUAACAUGGAAUGAGUACAAAUCUGAAACUUAUGGCGUAGAUGAUGAAGUUGAAGAUGGAAUUUUUUCCGGACAAGAGCAUGUUGAAGAAAAGGCACUAAUGAAAAAUGACAAAGAACUCUUUCAAACAGCUGACAUGAAUAAUGAUGGAAUAUUAAAUUCUGAAGAAUUUUUAGCAUUUACCCAUCCAGAAGAAGCACCUCACAUGCUGGAAGUAAUUCUUAGACAAACACUUAAUGAAAAAGAUGUUAACAAGGAUGGCUUUAUAGACUUUCAAGAAUAUAUUGGAGAUCGAGAUUCAGAUGUCGAAGUAGCGAAACAAAAAGAGAUGUUUGAAUCUGAGUUCGACACUAAUGGGGACGGACAUUUAGAUUCCAUCGAAUUUAAGCGAUGGGUAGCCCCCAGUAACGAGGCAAACAAAAGACAAGGCGUGGUUAAUUGCCGAAAAGGAAAAAUUUGAUCACGAGCUGGACUCUGACGCAGAUGGGCGUUUGGGUGCUAGGGAAAUCAUCGGUUGGGUCUUACCAAGCACUGAGGAGAUUGCUGGUGAAGAGGUUGAACACCUUUUUGCGUCAGCUGAUGACGACCAUGAUGGUUUGCUAUCCUUCGAAGAGAUUCUCGAACACCAUGACGUUUUCGUAGGAUCCGAAGCGACAGACUACGGAGAUCAUCUCAAUA